AGCCAGCGCAGGGGCUUCUGCUGAGGGGGCAGGCGGAGCUUGAGGAAACCGCAGAUAAGUUUUUUUCUCUUUGAAAGAUAGAGAUUAAUACAACUACUUAAAAAAUAUAGUCAAUAGGUUACUAAGAUAUUGCUUAGCGUUAAGUUUUUAACGUAAUUUUAAUAGCUUAAGAUUUUAAGAGAAAAUAUGAAGACUUAGAAGAGUAGCAUGAGGAAGGAAAAGAUAAAAGGUUUCUAAAACAUGACGGAGGUUGAGAUGAAGCUUCUUCAUGGAGUAAAAAAUGUAUUUAAAAGAAAAUUGAGAGAAAGGACUACAGAGCCCCGAAUUAAUACCAAUAGAAGGGCAAUGCUUUUAGAUUAAAAUGAAGGUGACUUAAACAGCUUAAAGUUUAGUUUAAAAGUUGUAGGUGAUUAAAAUAAUUUGAAGGCGAUCUUUUAAAAAGAGAUUAAACCGAAGGUGAUUAAAAGACCUUGAAAUCCAUGACGCAGGGAGAAUUGCGUCAUUUAAAGCCUAGUUAACGCAUUUACUAAACGCAGACGAAAAUGGAAAGAUUAAUUGGGAGUGGUAGGAUGAAACAAUUUGGAGAAGAUAGAAGUUUGAAGUGGAAAACUGGAAGACAGAAGUACGGGAAGGCGAAGAAAAGAAUAGAGAAGAUAGGGAAAUUAGAAGAUAAAAACAUACUUUUAGAAGAAAAAAGAUAAAUUUAAACCUGAAAAGUAGGAAGCAGAAGAAAAAAGACAAGCUAGGAAACAAAAAGCUAAGGGCAAAAUGUACAAACUUAGAAGAAAAUUGGAAGAUAGAAACAAGAUAGAAAAUGAAAAUAUUGUCAAGAGUUUCAGAUAGAAAAUGAAAAACAAGCUAAGACAAGUAUUGGAGAAGUAUAGAAGAUAGAAAAAUAUAAAGCCAAAAAUUGGAUAAAAUAGCACUGAAAAAAUGAGGAAAUUAUUGGUAACCAAUUUAUUUUAAAAGCCCAUCAAUUUAAUUUCUGGUGGUGCAGAAGUUAGAAGGUAAAGCUUGAGAAGAUGAGGGUGUUUACGUAGACCAGAACCAAUUUAGAAGAAUACUUGAAGCUAGAAGGGGAAGUUGGUUAAAAAUCACAUCAAAAAGCUACUAAAAGGACUGGUGUAAUUUAAAAAAAACUAAGGCAGAAGGCUUUUGGAAGAGUUAGAAGAAUUUGGAAGGCCUUAAAUAUAGUAGCUUAGUUUGAAAAAUGUGAAGGACUUUCGUAACGGAAGUAAUUCAAGAUCAAGAGUAAUUACCAACUUAAUGUUUUUGCAUUGGACUUUGAGUUAAGAUUAUUUUUUAAAUCCUGAGGACUAGCAUUAAUUGACAGCUGACCCAGGUGCUACACAGAAGUGGAUUCAGUGAAUCUAGGAAGACAGCAGCAGACAGGAUUCCAGGAACCAGUGUUUGAUGAAGCUAGGACUGAGGAGCAAGCGAGCAAGCAGCAGUUCGUGGUGAAGAUAGGAAAAGAGUCCAGGAGCCAGUGCGAUUUGGUGAAGGAAGCUAGGAAGAAGGAAGGAGCGCUAACGAUUUGGUGGUGAAGCUAGGAAAAAGGAUUCCAGGAAGGAGCGAGUGCAAUUUGGUGAUGAAGGUAGCAGGCGGCUUGGCUUGGCAACCACACGGAGGAGGCGAGCAGGCGUUGUGCGUAGAGGAUCCUAGACCAGCAUGCCAGUGUGCCAAGGCCACAGGGAAAGCGAGUGGUUGGUAAAAAUCCGUGAGGUCGGCAAUAUGUUGUUUUUCUGGAACUUACUUAUGGUAACCUUUUAUUUAUUUUCUAAUAUAAUGGGGGAGUUUCGUACUGAGGUGUAAAGGGAUUUAUAUGGGGACGUAGGCCGAUUUCCGGGUGUUGUAGGUUUCUCUUUUUCAGGCUUAUACUCAUGAAUCUUGUCUGAAGCUUUUGAGGGCAGACUGCCAAGUCCUGGAGAAAUAGUAGAUGGCAAGUUUGUGGGUUUUUUUUUUUUACACGAAUUUGAGGAAAACCAAAUGAAUUUGAUAGCCAAAUUGAGACAAUUUCAGCAAAUCUGUAAGCAGUUUGUAUGUUUAGUUGGGGUAAUGAAGUAUUUCAGUUUUGUGAAUAGAUGACCUGUUUUUACUUCCUCACCCUGAAUUCGUUUUGUAAAUGUAGAGUUUGGAUGUGUAACUGAGGCGGGGGGGAGUUUUCAGUAUUUUUUUUUGUGGGGGUGGGGGCAAAAUAUGUUUUCAGUUCUUUUUCCCUUAGGUCUGUCUAGAAUCCUAAAGGCAAAUGACUCAAGGUGUAACAGAAAACAAGAAAAUCCAAUAUCAGGAUAAUCAGACCACCACAGGUUUACAGUUUAUAGAAACUAGAGCAGUUCUCACGUUGAGGUCUGUGGAAGAGAUGUCCAUUGGAGAAAUGGCUGGUAGUUACUCUUUUUUCCCCCCACCCCCUUAAUCAGACUUUAAAAGUGCUUAACCCCUUAAACUUGUUAUUUUUUACUUGAAGCAUUUUGGGAUGGUCUUAACAGGGAAGAGAGAGGGUGGGGGAGAAAAUGUUUUUUUCUAAGAUUUUCCACAGAUGCUAUAGUACUAUUGACAAACUGGGUUAGAGAAGGAGUGUACCGCUGUGCUGUUGGCACGAACACCUUCAGGGACUGGAGCUGCUUUUAUCCUUGGAAGAGUAUUCCCAGUUGAAGCUGAAAAGUACAGCACAGUGCAGCUUUGGUUCAUAUUCAGUCAUCUCAGGAGAACUUCAGAAGAGCUUGAGUAGGCCAAAUGUUGAAGUUAAGUUUUCCAAUAAUGUGACUUCUUAAAAGUUUUAUUAAAGGGGAGGGGCAAAUAUUGGCAAUUAGUUGGCAGUGGCCUGUUACGGUUGGGAUUGGUGGGGUGGGUUUAGGUAAUUGUUUAGUUUAUGAUUGCAGAUAAACUCAUGCCAGAGAACUUAAAGUCUUAGAAUGGAAAAAGUAAAGAAAUAUCAACUUCCAAGUUGGCAAGUAACUCCCAAUGAUUUAGUUUUUUUCCCCCCAGUUUGAAUUGGGAAGCUGGGGGAAGUUAAAUAUGAGCCACUGGGUGUACCAGUGCAUUAAUUUGGGCAAGGAAAGUGUCAUAAUUUGAUACUGUAUCUGUUUUCCUUCAAAGUAUAGAGCUUUUGGGGAAGGAAAGUAUUGAACUGGGGGUUGGUCUGGCCUACUGGGCUGACAUUAACUACAAUUAUGGGAAAUGCAAAAGUUGUUUGGAUAUGGUAGUGUGUGGUUCUCUUUUGGAAUUUUUUUCAGGUGAUUUAAUAAUAAUUUAAAACUACUAUAGAAACUGCAGAGCAAAGGAAGUGGCUUAAUGAUCCUGAAGGGAUUUCUUCUGAUGGUAGCUUUUGUAUUAUCAAGGAGGGGAAACUUUUUUUUUUUCUAUAGACUUUUUUCAGAUAACAUCUUCUGAGUCAUAACCAGCCUGGCAGUAUGAUGGCCUAGAUGCAGAGAAAACAGCUCCUUGGUGAAUUGAUAAGUAAAGGCAGAAAAGAUUAUAUGUCAUACCUCCAUUGGGGAAUAAGCAUAACCCUGAGAUUCUUACUACUGAUGAGAACAUUAUCUGCAUAUGCCAAAAAAUUUUAAGCAAAUGAAAGCUACCAAUUUAAAGUUACGGAAUCUACCAUUUUAAAGUUAAUUGCUUGUCAAGCUAUAACCACAAAAAUAAUGAAUUGAUGAGAAAUACAAUGAAGAGGCAAUGUCCAUCUCAAAAUACUGCUUUUACAAAAGCAGAAUAAAAGCGAAAAGAAAUGAAAAUGUUACACUACAUUAAUCCUGGAAUAAAAGAAGCCGAAAUAAAUGAGAGAUGAGUUGGGAUCAAGUGGAUUGAGGAGGCUGUGCUGUGUGCCAAUGUUUCGUUUGCCUCAGACAGGUAUCUCUUCGUUAUCAGAAGAGUUGCUUCAUUUCAUCUGGGAGCAGAAAACAGCAGGCAGCUGUUAACAGAUAAGUUUAACUUGCAUCUGCAGUAUUGCAUGUUAGGGAUAAGUGCUUAUUUUUAAGAGCUGUGGAGUUCUUAAAUAUCAACCAUGGCACUUUCUCCUGACCCCUUCCCUAGGGGAUUUCAGGAUUGAGAAAUUUUUCCAUCGAGCCUUUUUAAAAUUGUAGGACUUGUUCCUGUGGGCUUCAGUGAUGGGAUAGUACACUUCACUCAGAGGCAUUUGCAUCUUUAAAUAAUUUCUUAAAAGCCUCUAAAGUGAUCAGUGCCUUGAUGCCAACUAAGGAAAUUUGUUUAGCAUUGAAUCUCUGAAGGCUCUAUGAAAGGAAUAGCAUGAUGUGCUGUUAGAAUCAGAUGUUACUGCUAAAAUUUACAUGUUGUGAUGUAAAUUGUGUAGAAAACCAUUAAAUCAUUCAAAAUAAUAAACUAUUUUUAUUAGAGAAUGUAUACUUUUAGAAAGCUGUCUCCUUAUUUAAAUAAAAUAGUGUUUGUCUGUAGUUCAGUGUUGGGGCAAUCUUGGGGGGGAUUCUUCUCUAAUCUUUCAGAAACUUUGUCUGCGAACACUCUUUAAUGGACCAGAUCAGGAUUUGAGCGGAAGAACGAAUGUAACUUUAAGGCAGGAAAGACAAAUUUUAUUCUUCAUAAAGUGAUGAGCAUAUAAUAAUUCCAGGCACAUGGCAAUAGAGGCCCUCUAAAUAAGGAAUAAAUAACCUCUUAGACAGGUGGGAGAUUAUGAUCAGAGUAAAAGGUAAUUACACAUUUUAUUUCCAGAAAGUCAGGGGUCUAUAAAUUGACAGUGAUUAGAGUAAUACUUUUUCACAUUUCCAAAGUUUGCAUGUUAACUUUAAAUGCUUACAAUCUUAGAGUGGUAGGCAAUGUUUUACACUAUUGACCUUAUAUAGGGAAGGGAGGGGGUGCCUGUGGGGUUUUAAAGAAUUUUCCUUUGCAGAGGCAUUUCAUCCUUCAUGAAGCCAUUCAGGAUUUUGAAUUGCAUAUGAGUGCUUGGCUCUUCCUUCUGUUCUAGUGAGUGUAUGAGACCUUGCAGUGAGUUUAUCAGCAUACUCAAAAUUUUUUUCCUGGAAUUUGGAGGGAUGGGAGGAGGGGGUGGGGCUUACUUGUUGUAGCUUUUUUUUUUUUUACAGACUUCACAGAGAAUGCAGUUGUCUUGACUUCAGGUCUGUCUGUUCUGUUGGCAAGUAAAUGCAGUACUGUUCUGAUCCCGCUGCUAUUAGAAUGCAUUGUGAAACGACUGGAGUAUGAUUAAAAGUUGUGUUCCCCAAUGCUUGGAGUAGUGAUUGUUGAAGGAAAAA
This 5222-nucleotide long non-coding RNA is filed under the name Homo sapiens (human). RNAcentral's name for it is "HSALNT0363302". The stretch from base 3643 to 3737 matches the Rfam family "Metastasis associated lung adenocarcinoma transcript 1". Lineage: Eukaryota; Metazoa; Chordata; Mammalia; Primates; Hominidae. The record is from RNAcentral.